This 568-nucleotide ribosomal RNA is filed under the name uncultured bacterium. Its description in RNAcentral is "partial 16S ribosomal RNA". It matches the Rfam family "Bacterial small subunit ribosomal RNA", at positions 355 to 914 of the family's 1533-position model. The record is from RNAcentral.
UGGGGAAUUUUGGACAAUGGGGGAAACCCUGAUCCAGCCAUCCCGCGUGUGCGAUGAAGGCCUUCGGGUUGUAAAGCACUUUUGGCAGGAAAGAAACGUCGCGGGUUAAUACCCCGCGAAACUGACGGUACCUGCAGAAUAAGCACCGGCUAACUACGUGCCAGCAGCCGCGGUAAUACGUAGGGUGCAAGCGUUAAUCGGAAUUACUGGGCGUAAAGCGUGCGCAGGCGGUUCGGAAAGAAAGAUGUGAAAUCCCAGAGCUUAACUUUGGAACUGCAUUUUUAACUACCGGGCUAGAGUGUGUCAGAGGGAGGUGGAAUUCCGCGUGUAGCAGUGAAAUGCGUAGAUAUGCGGAGGAACACCGAUGGCGAAGGCAGCCUCCUGGGAUAACACUGACGCUCAUGCACGAAAGCGUGGGGAGCAAACAGGAUUAGAUACCCUGGUAGUCCACGCCCUAAACGAUGUCAACUAGCUGUUGGGGCCUUCGGGCCUUGGUAGCGCAGCUAACGCGUGAAGUUGACCGCCUGGGGAGUACGGUCGCAAGAUUAAAAACUCAAAAGGAAUUGAC